Long non-coding RNA from Nematostella vectensis (starlet sea anemone), 1338 nucleotides. RefSeq lists it as uncharacterized. NCBI's taxonomy places the organism in Eukaryota, Metazoa, Cnidaria, Anthozoa, Actiniaria, Edwardsiidae. The record is from RefSeq and is a predicted model, not a curated record. The transcript has 3 exons.
AAUAGGCAGCCUCAUUUGAAUAAAACAACAGUUUUCUCAAGUCAGUAUGAAUAUAUUAUAAAUACAUUUUGUCCAUGAAUAUUUUGAGGCAGGUGCAGUUAGGGUUACAAAUUUUAGGUACACGUCGUAACAUUGGUCAAAACUGUAUCAUCUGCAGUGGAGCCAUCAAGUGUAACUUCAUAUUGCAGUGUGAGGUUGUGAUCUCUGGAAGUCUUGGUUACCAUGUAGGCAAACACUUCAAAAUUUAGCUGCUGAAUCCUGGAUCCUUUUUGAACAAGAGGUUUCAAAAAAGGCAUUUCAUAAAAUGCCACAUUGAGAAAAAAGAGCAAUAACACUUCAGCUAUUGUCCUGCUUCUGGUCCAGCUUACUCUUGUUGGUCUUCACCAUGUAAAUAAAGUAUGCAACGGUUUCCUUCUCAGGGCAGUCAAUCUGUUUAAAAUGUCUCUGGAUGGUCUGGAAAAUAAGAGCAAUGAAUACAAAUAAGGACGAAAAAGAAUAUAUCACUAAGGGGCUGACCAUUUGACUUUUGAGAGGGGGGUAAGCUUUUUUGGGGUGUGCAAAUGCUUUUUAAAGCAUUUGAGUGCAAAAUUAUUUAUACCGAUGCAGGAUAUUUUUUGUCCAUCAAUUGGUGCAGGAUAUUUUUUUCAGCCCAAAGGGCCGUACAGGAUAAUUUUUUUUCAAAAAAGCUCACCCCCUUAAAAGUCAAAUGGUUGGCCCCUAAGUUGUAGUGUCAAACAAGAAAAUAAAAUCUUUAUAGUGGCAAAUGUCAUUUUUUUACUAUGAUUUGAUGACUGAGAUUGUAAAAGCCGGGUACUUUGAUUUCCUUUGAUGAUGAGUAUGCAUGCAUACAACACAAUUCAUGCCACAAUGUGCAAGUAUAAGAACAUGUGAUCAUCCAAACAAUGGGAUGCUACCGUCUUUAUACUCAUACUUGUGUGAUGGGCUUCCACCAAAUAGCACAAUGCAGGCAAUCUGACUUUUUGGUUUAAGCCGGGCUGGGAUCCUUGAGCCAGCAACAUCUGGUACUAGUUCUAGUUCAUCUACUCUCAAAACAUUGUAACAUGCGACAUAUCUUGAAACCAUGAAACAAAAACAGUUCUCAUAUAGUUGCAAAACAUUUCUAUAUUGGCAGCUGAAAUACUUGUGGAUGUUUUUGGGCAGCUAAGCACGGAAACAUUUAAAGUACCUGUGGCAUCAAACUCUUAAGUUCCGGGUUUAUACCAAUAAAUCAGUAGUUUAGGACUUGAAAAUAAACCAUCAAACUAUUAAGUUCCGGGUUUAUACCAAUAAAUCAGUAGUUUAGGACUUGAAAAUAAACCAUACCAAGUUUUAUUACCA